Molecule: ribosomal RNA, 256 nt
Filed under: uncultured bacterium
Lineage: Bacteria
Description: partial 16S ribosomal RNA
Rfam family: Bacterial small subunit ribosomal RNA
Source: RNAcentral
UACGAAGGGUGCAAGCGUUACUCGGAAUUACUGGGCGUAAAGCGUGCGUAGGUGGUUCGUUAAGUCUGUCGUGAAAGCCCCGGGCUCAACCUGGGAAUGGCGAUGGAUACUGGCGAGCUAGAGUGCGGUAGAGGAGAGUGGAAUUCCCGUGUAGCAGUGAAAUGCGUAGAGAUCGGGAGGAAACAUCAGUUGCGAAGGCGGCUCUCUGGACCAGCACUGACACUGAGGCACGAAAAGCGUGGGGGAGCAAAACAGG